RNAcentral lists this transfer RNA (92 nucleotides) under Felis catus (domestic cat). It matches the Rfam family "tRNA". From Rfam's summary of the family: Transfer RNA (tRNA) molecules are approximately 80 nucleotides in length. Their secondary structure includes four short double-helical elements and three loops (D, anti-codon, and T loops). Further hydrogen bonds mediate the characteristic L-shaped molecular structure. tRNAs have two regions of fundamental functional importance: the anti-codon, which is responsible for specific mRNA codon recognition, and the 3' end, to which the tRNAs corresponding amino acid is attached (by aminoacyl-tRNA synthetases). tRNAs cope with the degeneracy of the genetic code in two manners: having more than one tRNA (with a specific anti-codon) for a particular amino acid; and 'wobble' base-pairing, i.e. permitting non-standard base-pairing at the 3rd anti-codon position. Lineage: Eukaryota; Metazoa; Chordata; Mammalia; Carnivora; Felidae. The record is from Rfam by way of RNAcentral.
GCCUGGGUGGCUCAGUCGGUUGAGCGUCUGACUCUUGAUUCUGGCUCGGGUCAUGAUCUCACGGUUUGUGGGUUCGAGCCCCACAUCUGGCU